Molecule: ribosomal RNA, 204 nt
Filed under: Euseius concordis
Lineage: Eukaryota; Metazoa; Arthropoda; Arachnida; Mesostigmata; Phytoseiidae
Description: 12S ribosomal RNA
Source: RNAcentral
CUCUAAAAGAGAGUGACGGGCGAUAUGUACACAAAUAAAUUAUUAUUCAAAUAAAUAACAUACAUUUAUUUUACUUUUAAAUUCUACUUUACAAUAUAAUUACAUAUAAAACAUAGCUAAAUAACAAUUUAUGUAAUUUAUUUCAAUCUUUUAUAUAAGCCGCAUCUAUACCUAAAAUUUUACUAAGACACUAGAAAAAUAAAA